UGGCCAAGUUUUUAAGGGCGCACGGUGGAUGCCUUGGCACCAGGAACCGAUGAAGGACGUGGGAGGCCGCGAUAGGCCCCGGGGAGCUGUCAACCGAGCUUUGAUCCGGGGGUGUCCGAAUGGGGAAACCCGG
RNAcentral lists this ribosomal RNA (133 nucleotides) under uncultured actinomycete. Its description in RNAcentral is "partial 23S ribosomal RNA". It matches the Rfam family "Bacterial large subunit ribosomal RNA", at positions 1 to 131 of the family's 2925-position model. The record is from RNAcentral. Lineage: Bacteria; Bacillati; Actinomycetota; Actinomycetes; Actinomycetales.